This 274-nucleotide ribosomal RNA is filed under the name uncultured bacterium. RNAcentral's name for it is "partial 16S ribosomal RNA". It matches the Rfam family "Bacterial small subunit ribosomal RNA", at positions 523 to 796 of the family's 1533-position model. The record is from RNAcentral.
AUACGGAGGGUGCAAGCGUUACUCGGAAUCACUGGGCGUAAAGGACGCGUAGGCGGAUUGGAAAGUCAGAUGUGAAAUCCUACAGCUUAACUGUAGAACUGCAUUUGAAACUUCUAAUCUAGAGUAUGGGAGGGGGAGAUGGAAUUAGUGGUGUAGGGGUAAAAUCCGUAGAUAUCACUAGGAAUACUGAAAGCGAAGGCGAUCUCCUGGAACAUAACUGACGCUAAGGCGUGAAAGCGUGGGGAGCAAACGGGAUUAGAAACCCUAGUAGUCC